GAGUAAGCUUUUGCCACACCAAAAAAAAAAGAGUAAGCUUUUGAAAAUAAUGAACCAUCGGACAUGGUUCUUCCACGUGUGAGACCGAUAUGACGGAAAAGCCGAACCAACCAAGAGUCGGGUAAGAGUUUUGGUCAAGGAAGGAAGGGUAAUAUGGGAAUUUUCAAACAAGAUUAUCAGAGGUCAAAUCUUGUCUCCGUAUUACCAAACUCGUUGUGAGUUUUUGGUCAAGUAAAGAUGGGUAUUUUGGGAAUUUUAUAAUAUAAAAAUGGGAUUAUCAGAGGUCAUUUCUUGUCUCCAUAUUACCAAACUCCCAA
This is a long non-coding RNA of Arabidopsis thaliana (thale cress), 317 nucleotides long. RefSeq annotates it as other RNA. The transcript has a single exon. The record is from RefSeq. NCBI's taxonomy places the organism in Eukaryota, Viridiplantae, Streptophyta, Magnoliopsida, Brassicales, Brassicaceae.